This is a long non-coding RNA of Anthonomus grandis grandis, 476 nucleotides long. RefSeq lists it as uncharacterized. The transcript is spliced from 3 exons. The record is from RefSeq and is a predicted model, not a curated record. Lineage: Eukaryota; Metazoa; Arthropoda; Insecta; Coleoptera; Curculionidae.
GAAGAAACGUGUUAUAAUGCAAUCAAACUUUGAGAUAUCGCGAUAGGUUUAAUUAUCCGACCACGAUUAUAAAGGACCACUUUUGAUGACAUGGAGCAUCAGGCGAGAACGGAAUAUGCUGAUGGAUUGAGAGGCUUUUUGACAGCCUCAAUUCUUAAAACUUACUAUAAAUCCGACGCCAAACCUGAACUAAGAGCAAUUUCAGCAGUUUCAAUGUAUGAGCAAUUUUGGACAAAUAUUGGCCCAUUGUCUGAAAUUUUUAAUGGCAAAUAAAAGAAUGGUAACUCCUGUAAAUUUUACUUUUAACCUUUUAACAUAUUUAUUUAUUGCCUUUUUUAUUACUAACUAGUUAGAUAGUUAUUUAAUUUAUAAUAUUUACUAAAGAACAGUACUAGUAAAUUGAGUAAGAGGUAAUUCUUUGGUGAUUGUAUAAAAUUUUUAUAAUAAUAAUAUUAAUAAUAACAUUUAUAAUAACC